UAAGGAAUAUUGGUCAAUGGACGAAAGUCUGAACCAGCCAUGCCGCGUGAAGGAUGAAGGUCCUCUGGAUUGUAAACUUCUUUUAUCUGGGACGAAAAAAGGGAAUUCUUUCUCACUUGACGGUACCAGAAGAAUAAGCACCGGCUAACUCCGUGCCAGCAGCCGCGGUAAUACGGAGGGUGCAAGCGUUAUCCGGAUUCACUGGGUUUAAAGGGUGCGUAGGUGGGCAGUUAAGUCAGUGGUGAAAUCUCCGGGCUUAACCCGGAAACUGCCAUUGAUACUAUCUGUCUUGAAUACUCUGGAGGUAAGCGGAAUAUGUCAUGUAGCGGUGAAAUGCUUAGAUAUGACAUAGAACACCGAUUGCGAAGGCAGCUUACGUACGGAGUCAUUGACACGUGAGGC
This 402-nucleotide ribosomal RNA is filed under the name uncultured bacterium. Its description in RNAcentral is "bacterial SSU rRNA". It matches the Rfam family "Bacterial small subunit ribosomal RNA", at positions 355 to 752 of the family's 1533-position model. The record is from RNAcentral.